AGAUUGCUCGCGAAGAAAACAGAUUUAUUCUGACCUGUGGCUUACCCUACCAGACGCUGCGUUCUCAGGUGGGGGAAGACCGCUGCCUCUCUCUGAAUUGCUCCGAGAAGGCUAAGGAUCAGGCAGUUACUGUGCUGAAACACUUCAAUGUGCACGUCACUCCUAAAGACAUCUUCAGCCGCUGUCAGAUUCUAGGGUGGACCCAGUGGAUUGGAAGAUAGCAAAUGUAACACCA
Molecule: long non-coding RNA, 235 nt
Organism: Carcharodon carcharias (great white shark)
Lineage: Eukaryota; Metazoa; Chordata; Chondrichthyes; Lamniformes; Lamnidae
Exons: 3
Source: RefSeq, a predicted model, not a curated record